RNAcentral lists this ribosomal RNA (579 nucleotides) under Triticum aestivum (bread wheat). RNAcentral's name for it is "partial small subunit ribosomal RNA". Lineage: Eukaryota; Viridiplantae; Streptophyta; Magnoliopsida; Poales; Poaceae. The record is from RNAcentral.
AUGGAUGCACAUGAUUCUGUUGUUUUCCCCACUUUUGACCCACCUGACAUUCCUACUCACUUGGGUGGUGUUGGUCAUUGGGUUUCAAUAUUUCUUGACCUGAAGAAUUCAAGGUUCCAGCUUCUCAACUCCUACUAUGGACCAAACGAUGAUUGUGCGGUACGUCUGUUUCGGCGGAUGACUGAUAACAUCAAGAAGCUUUGGAACAAUGCCAACAACGACAGGGAGACACCCUUCAGUCCUCUUUCUAUUGACCAUUUCCCUUUGGAUUGGAUUGAUGUCCCCCAGCAAACCAACAAUAUCGACUGCGGAUUCUUCAUGCUUACGAAAGUUAAUUCGUUUCAUGAAGAGGUUCUUGCAAACUAUUCCCAUGAUAAUAUCGCAGAUAUCAGAAAGACGUGGUUGUACUCAAUUGCUUCUUCUAACCUAUUUGAAACAUACUUCCAAGGUCUGUUUGGCUACUAUACAUUGGACCCGUUGGACUUGACCGAUUACCACUACUCAUUCCUCGGGUCACAGGAAUACCAGCCUAGGGAGGAAUCGAUGAGUACAACUCUGAGAGAAGAUGAUAGCUCUUGA